UACGAAGGGGGCUAGCGUUGCUCGGAAUCACUGGGCGUAAAGGGUGCGUAGGCGGGUCUUUAAGUCAGGGGUGAAAUCCUGGAGCUCAACUCCAGAACUGCCUUUGAUACUGAGGAUCUUGAGUUCGGGAGAGGUGAGUGGAACUGCGAGUGUAGAGGUGAAAUUCGUAGAUAUUCGCAAGAACAUCAGUGGCGAAGGCGGCUCACUGGCCCGAUACUGACGCUGAGGUGCGAAAGCGUGGGGAGCAAACAGG
Molecule: ribosomal RNA, 253 nt
Filed under: uncultured bacterium
Lineage: Bacteria
Description: partial 16S ribosomal RNA
Rfam family: Bacterial small subunit ribosomal RNA
Source: RNAcentral